This is a long non-coding RNA of Melanotaenia boesemani (Boeseman's rainbowfish), 1788 nucleotides long. RefSeq lists it as uncharacterized. NCBI's taxonomy places the organism in Eukaryota, Metazoa, Chordata, Actinopteri, Atheriniformes, Melanotaeniidae. The record is from RefSeq and is a predicted model, not a curated record. The transcript is spliced from 3 exons.
GGAAAUCUACUAUCCUGCAGCUUUUAGAUAAAACCCUUCUCCAACACACCGGAAUCAAUGACCGCCUCGUUAUCAGGCCUCUGCACAGAUGAAUAACAUCUGGAUGAGGGGAUUCAACCCUGGUGUAAAAUAUUAAUUAUAGGGCACAGCUGGAGGAAUUCUCUAAUAACUGAACACUGCUGGGGUCUGUAUGUGUUAGUCUCAGUCAGAUCUGAUACAAACAGAGCAGACAGUCAACCCGAGCACAAAUCCCUGCCUCAGCAGAGCUCUCAUGACGUAGGAAACCAGAUGAAGACAGACCACAUAACCUACGCUGAAGGGAAACUGCUUUGUUUACUAAACCCAGCGGUCGCGGGCGGGACGAAGGUUAGUUCAACUUUCCAGCUCAUGAGGUAAAUAAGUCCUUAAAAGCUUUGAAAGAGGUCAGUAAAAUGUUUAAAUCUGUUCUGGCAGCCUUGUUCCACACCAGUAUGAAGAUCCACUAACUUUAGUGGAUGUUUUUAUUUCAGAAAGAACCCCUCCUCCUCUUCCUCCUCCUCCUCCUCCUCCGUUCGUGUUGGUGUGUGCUGCAUCCGUCAGUGGUCUGGUCGCUUUGACUUUACUGCUUGCAUUGGUUCCACGAUGCCUUCGAGGAAAACCAAAAGCCUGGUCGUGUUUGGCUAAAGACGAGGGCGUCACGGAUCACAUCACAUACUGUCAGCUCCACCUAUCGCCUCACCAGGAGCCAAUCAGGAGACGAGAAAACAGCCCUGACGUCAUCUACAGCGAAGUGAGAAGAGGUGAAGAAGUUCAUGAUGAAGAAGCCGGAACUGACAGCAGUACCUCAAGUCUCCAGCAGGGGGAGGCGUACUCCGUCUCCCACACUUAAUCCUGAUGAUCUGCUUUUCUUCAUCCACAUCUCCCACAGCUCCUCUUUAAAAUAAUUACCUUAACAAACGUGGAAAACAACCAACUUGUUAUCUGUAGCUUUGACUCCUUUCUUUUAUUUAUUCUGUGCUCUGGAUUUCAUAUUUAUAUUUAUUUAAAGAUGCUGCCAUUAUGUUUGAUAACCACCUUAACGGGUGUUAAAGUCAUCAUGUUCUCAUCUCAGAUGGUUCUCUGGGGUCAAACCCUUUCUUUUUAGGAGUGACAUGGAAUCGGUAAUCCACGCUUUUAUAACCUCCCGGUUGCAUUACUGUGACUCUCUUUUACCAGGAAUUAGCCGGAUCCACUCUGUUACACCUCCAGUUAGUGCAAAAUGAGGCAGGUACAGGGAAAAAAGAGCACAUCCGUCCGCUGUUAGCUUCAUUGCACUAGCUUCUUAUUUAUUUUAGGGUCCUUUUUAAAGUUCUUUUAUUAGAUUUUAAGUCUCUUAAUGGUCUUCCACAUAUUUAGCUUGCUGCACCCCUACACCACUUCUCGCUCCCUCCGGUCAGCUGACCAGAUGCUGCUGCUGAUUCCCAGUCACAAAGGAAAAUGAGAGGUGAUCCAGCUUUUCUGUUGUGGCCUCAGAGCUCUGGAACCAGCUUCCUCUGCACAUAAGACGAGCUCCCUCAGUUGAUGCUUUAAAUCUGGUUUGAAAAAAAUGACUUGUGGGGUCUUGUGUGUUUUAUUUCUGUACUCCAUGUUAUUAGUUGCAGCACUUUGGUCAACCAUGUGAUGUUUUUUUAAUGUGCUAUAUAUAUAAAACUGUUAUGGUAUGGUGUAUUUUUUUAUUUAUUUUUUUUAUUAAAUGAAGCAAUGUUUAGCUAACCAGAGUAUUUGUGAAUGUUUGAUAGAAUUAAACCCAAAACGUGUCUGGAUUUGGUU